Molecule: transfer RNA, 90 nt
Filed under: Phycisphaerae bacterium
Lineage: Bacteria; Pseudomonadati; Planctomycetota; Phycisphaerae
Description: tRNA-Ser
Rfam family: tRNA
About the family: Transfer RNA (tRNA) molecules are approximately 80 nucleotides in length.
Source: RNAcentral
GGAGAGAUGACCGAGAGGCUGAAGGUACCGGUUUGCUAAACCGGCGUACGGGUUAUACUUGUACCGGGGGUUCGAAUCCCCCUCUCUCCG